Molecule: long non-coding RNA, 235 nt
Filed under: Capsicum annuum
Lineage: Eukaryota; Viridiplantae; Streptophyta; Magnoliopsida; Solanales; Solanaceae
Description: long non-coding RNA (CANN_LNC006006)
Source: RNAcentral
GGAAUUGGGGCACCUCUUGAGUGUUACUUUGGAGUGCAAAAUGUCUUCAAUGUCCUUCACUUGAGACACCUAUUGAGUGUAUAAUUCCUCCUCCUUUCUUCUCUUGAACAAGGCUUCAGAAUGCUCUAAAAAGUCUUCAAUUAUUUGCCAAUUCCAAAGCUUGAACCUUGGACAAUAUCUUGUGCUAUUGGCUCUCCUCAUGCUUGUAGGAAUUUGUCCUCAAAAUCAGAUCUUG